UACCGGCGGCUCGAGUGGUGGCCGAUAUUAUUGAGUCUAAAGGGUCCGUAGCCGGCUUAGUAAGUCUUUUGGGAAAUCCAGCGGCUUAAUCGUUGGGCGUCCAUGAGAUACUGCUUUGCUUGGGACUGGGAGAGGUAGGAGGUACUCAAGGGGUAGGAGUGAAAUCCUGUAAUCCUUUGGGGACCACCGGUGGCGAAGGCGUCCUACCAGAACAGGUCCGACGGUGAGGGACGAAAGCUAGGGGC
RNAcentral lists this ribosomal RNA (245 nucleotides) under uncultured archaeon. RNAcentral's name for it is "partial 16S ribosomal RNA". It matches the Rfam family "Archaeal small subunit ribosomal RNA", at positions 474 to 718 of the family's 1478-position model. The record is from RNAcentral.